RNAcentral lists this ribosomal RNA (415 nucleotides) under uncultured bacterium. Its description in RNAcentral is "bacterial SSU rRNA". It matches the Rfam family "Bacterial small subunit ribosomal RNA", at positions 355 to 787 of the family's 1533-position model. The record is from RNAcentral.
UGAGGAAUAUUGGGCAAUGGGGGCAACCCUGACCCAGCCAUGCCGCGUGAGUGAAGAAGGUUUUCGAAUUGUAAAGCUCUUUCGGAUGUGACGAUGAUGACGGUAGCAUCUAAAGAAGCCCCGGCAAACUUCGUGCCAGCAGCCGCGGUAAUACGAAGGGGGCGAGCGUUGUUCGGAAUUACUGGGCGUAAAGGGUGUGUAGGUGGACGUGUAAGAUAGCGGUGAAAUGCCGGAGCUCAACUUCGGAAUUGCCAUUAUAACUAUGCGUCUAGAAUUAUAGAGAGGAUAGCGGAAUACCCAGUGUAGAGGUGAAAUUCGUAGAUAUUGGGUAGAACACCAGUGGCGAAGGCGGCUAUCUGGCUAUAUAUUGACACUGAGGCACGAAAGCAUGGGGAUCAAACAGGAUUAGAUACCC